AGAGUUUGAUCCUGGCUCAGAUUGAACGCUGGCGGCAGGCCUAACACAUGCAAGUCGAGCGCGAAAGCCUUUCGGGGUGAGUAGAGCGGCGGACGGGUGAGUAACGCGUAGGAAUCUACCCGGUAGUGGGGGACAACUCAGGGAAACUCGAGCUAAUACCGCAUACGCCCUUCGGGGGAAAGCGGGGGACCUUCGGGCCUCGCGCUAUCGGAUGAGCCUGCGUUGGAUUAGCUGGUUGGUGGGGUAAUGGCCUACCAAGGCGACGAUCCAUAGCUGGUCUGAGAGGAUGAUCAGCCACACCGGGACUGAGACACGGCCCGGACUCCUACGGGAGGCAGCAGUGGGGAAUAUUGCGCAAUGGGCGGAAGCCUGACGCAGCCAUGCCGCGUGUGUGAAGAAGGCCCUAGGGUUGUAAAGCACUUUCACUUGGGAGGAAAAGGUUGCGGUUAAUAGCCGUAGCUCUUGACGCUACCUUGAGAAGAAGCACCGGCUAACUCCGUGCCAGCAGCCGCGGUAAUACGGAGGGUGCGAGCGUUAAUCGGAAUUACUGGGCGUAAAGCGCGCGUAGGCGGUUUGUUAAGUCGGAUGUGAAAGCCCCGGGCUCAACCUGGGAAUUGCACCCGAUACUGGCCGACUGGAGUGCGAGAGAGGGAGGUAGAAUUCCACGUGUAGCGGUGAAAUGCGUAGAUAUGUGG
This 695-nucleotide ribosomal RNA is filed under the name uncultured bacterium. Its description in RNAcentral is "bacterial SSU rRNA". It matches the Rfam family "Bacterial small subunit ribosomal RNA", at positions 8 to 701 of the family's 1533-position model. The record is from RNAcentral.